CACAACACUACUACGCUAAGUGCAAUUAUUGCAAGAAUUUCUGCCUUAACCCUACUUCUUCCUACUUCGUAAGCUUUUCAUUAGGGAACAGUUUUGCGCAUUGCGCAAUUACUUUUACGCAACUAGGAAAUAUCAAAUUCAUUCUCUAUCUUCUAGCGAAAAUACAUGAACAAAAAAAAAAAACAUAUUGGAAAUAUGCUGUAUACCGGUAACAAGCACAUUAUAAAGCAGUUUAGCAGAAGCACUCUAAACAAUGAUAUGGACGCGUGGCCUCCCCGCGCCCGUAUGCCUGUGAUUUCGAAACACUAGAGAAGGAGCGUACGAAAAUGGGAACGGUUUGGUAGAGAUCGAGAAAAAAAGAAGGAAAUUAUUUACCAGAAGGAAGAGGAAGAGGUUCUAGCCCGUGUGUCACACAACCCACACUCACAACUCCGCUCAAUGAAUAAUGUAAUCCUUCAGAAAGUCUUGCUGCACAUUGCUGCAACGAAAGGCGCAUGACACAAAACAAAACA
Molecule: long non-coding RNA, 512 nt
Organism: Anopheles merus
Lineage: Eukaryota; Metazoa; Arthropoda; Insecta; Diptera; Culicidae
Exons: 2
Source: RefSeq, a predicted model, not a curated record